This 70-nucleotide transfer RNA is filed under the name Dipodomys ordii (Ord's kangaroo rat). It matches the Rfam family "tRNA". From Rfam's summary of the family: Transfer RNA (tRNA) molecules are approximately 80 nucleotides in length. Their secondary structure includes four short double-helical elements and three loops (D, anti-codon, and T loops). Lineage: Eukaryota; Metazoa; Chordata; Mammalia; Rodentia; Heteromyidae. The record is from Rfam by way of RNAcentral.
GGGAAUGUGGCUUAGUGGUAGAGUACUUGCCUUGCAUGCAUGAAGCCCUGGGUUCAAUUCCUCCCUACCA